Molecule: ribosomal RNA, 253 nt
Filed under: uncultured bacterium
Lineage: Bacteria
Description: partial 16S ribosomal RNA
Rfam family: Bacterial small subunit ribosomal RNA
Source: RNAcentral
UACGUAGGGUGCGAGCGUUAAUCGGAAUUACUGGGCGUAAAGCGUGCGCAGGCGGCUUUGCAAGACAGAUGUGAAAUCCCCGGGCUCAACCUGGGAACUGCAUUUGUGACUGCAAGGCUAGAGUACGGCAGAGGGGGAUGGAAUUCCGCGUGUAGCAGUGAAAUGCGUAGAUAUGCGGAGGAAAACCAAUGGCGAAGGCAAUCCCCUGGGCCUGUACUGACGCUCAUGCACGAAAGCGUGGGGAGCAAACAGG